This 464-nucleotide ribosomal RNA is filed under the name uncultured Desulfocapsa sp. RNAcentral describes it as "bacterial SSU rRNA". It matches the Rfam family "Bacterial small subunit ribosomal RNA", at positions 917 to 1381 of the family's 1533-position model. The record is from RNAcentral. Lineage: Bacteria; Pseudomonadati; Thermodesulfobacteriota; Desulfobulbia; Desulfobulbales; Desulfocapsaceae.
CGGGGCCGCACAAGCGGUGGAGCAUGUGGUUAAUUCGAUGCAACGCGAAGAACCUUACCUGGGCUUGACAUCCCAAGAAUCCCCUGGAAACAGGGGAGUGCCUUCGGGAGCUUGGAGACAGGUGCUGCAUGGCUGUCGUCAGCUCGUGUCGUGAGAUGUUGGGUUAAGUCCCGCAACGAGCGCGACCCCUAUCUUUAGUUGCCAUCAUUGAGUUGGGCACUCUAAAGAGACUGCCGGUGUCAAACCGGAGGAAGGUGGGGAUGGCGUCAAGUCCUCAUGGCCUUUAUGACCAGGGCUACACACGUACUACAAUGGCCGGUACAAAGGGCAGCGACACAGCGAUGUGAAGCGAAUCCCGAAAAGCCGGUCUCAGUCCGGAUUGGAGUCUGCAACUCGACUCCAUGAAGUUGGAAUCGCUAGUAAUCGCGGAUCAGCACGCCGCGGUGAAUACGUUCCCGGGCCUU